CUGAGGUCUGUGGUCUGCAUACUCUAAUCAAGCGAUGGAGUGCAUUUCCACAAGAUAUUUAAGAACAUUCUGCCUUCUGAUCAUGUUUCUACUCAUUAGUUUUAAUUUGCUAACAACCAUCAGGUCCAUCACUCCAGCUAAAGAUGAUAAUAAGCUAGCAUACAAUAAGAUGAACAUUAACAUUUCAAGGAAGUUGCUGAGGGUGAAGAAUAAGGAAUACGGUCUUUAUUCCCCCUUUUCAAACCCGCCUGACCAGAAUUUUGAACCUUGAAAAAGAAGUCCAUCGCCAUACAUUAUGAAGUUCCUUGAAAAAGAAGUCCUCUUUCCCCUAUUUUUAUUUUAUAUUUAUCGGUAGUAUCUUUUACCGUAUAGAAUAUUGUAUCAUUACCAUCUCAAACCUGCAAUACAAUCAACUAUUGCUUAUCACCAAACCAUGCAAUAAAAUGAACGAUGUUUGCUAU
Long non-coding RNA from Papaver somniferum (opium poppy), 461 nucleotides. RefSeq lists it as uncharacterized. The record is from RefSeq and is a predicted model, not a curated record. Lineage: Eukaryota; Viridiplantae; Streptophyta; Magnoliopsida; Ranunculales; Papaveraceae. The transcript is spliced from 2 exons.